Molecule: long non-coding RNA, 380 nt
Organism: Pseudophryne corroboree (corroboree frog)
Lineage: Eukaryota; Metazoa; Chordata; Amphibia; Anura; Myobatrachidae
Exons: 3
Source: RefSeq, a predicted model, not a curated record
CAAAGUGGGACGGGUGAGGACAUUUACAGAAGUGUGGGGGUCACUGGAUUCCCUAAGCAUGAGAGAAACGUUCUUCCGGUUCGAUUGUUCCCCAAGAUGGAUCAAGCGAUUGAACAACGGUGGAGCCUAGACAAACUCAAACUCACACCCAUUCAUACUUCGUCCACCACCAAACAUCCCUCCCCAUUUACACCCAUCCAUACUCCAUCCACUCUCCCUCUCAGUCCAUAACAUCCGUCACUCAAAACCAGGACUACCAACAUUUAACAAGAAAGAAUAAAGGAUUUUUGUAGGCCUUUUGAUGCAUGCAAACCAUUUCACAAAACAAACCAUACCAAAAUCUAACCAUACCAAAAUCUAAAGAUACAGAUUCUAGUGAA